AGAGUUUGAUCCUGGCUCAGAACGAACGCUGGCGGCGUGCCUAACACAUGCAAGUCGUACGAGAAAAUCCGCUUCGGCGGGUGAGUAGAGUGGCGCACGGGUGAGUAACGCGUGGAUAAUCUGCCUUUAAGCUGGGAAUAACUCACCGAAAGGUGGGCUAAUACCCGAUAAUGCUACGGGACUUCGGUUUUAUAGCCAAAGAGAGCCUCUACAUGUAAGCCUUCACUUAAAGAUGAGUCCGCGUACCAUUAGCUAGUUGGUAGGGUAAUGGCCUACCAAGGCGACGAUGGUUAGCUGGUCUGAGAGGAUGAUCAGCCACACUGGAACUGAGACACGGUCCAGACUCCUACGGGAGGCAGCAGUGAGGAAUAUUGCGCAAUGGGGGCAACCCUGACGCAGCAACGCCGCGUGAGUGAGGAAGGUCUUCGGAUCGUAAAGCUCUGUCGGGUGGGAAGAAGUGUGCAUAGGUUAAUAGCUUGUGCACUUGACGGUACCGCCAAAGGAAGCACCGGCUAACUCCGUGCCAGCAGCCGCGGUAAUACGGGGGGUGCGAGCGUUGUUCGGAAUCAUUGGGCGUAAAGAGCGUGUAGGCGGCUAGGCAAGUCAGAUGUGAAAUCCCUGGGCUUAACCCAGGAAGUGCAUUUGAAACUGCUUAGCUUGAGUAAGGAAGAGGGAAGUGGAAUUCCUGGUGUAGAGGUGAAAUUCGUAGAUAUCAGGAGGAACACCGGUGGCGAAGGCGACUUCCUGGUCCUAUACUGACGCUGAGACGCGAGAGCGUGGGGAGCAAACAGGAUUAGAUACCCUGGUAGUCCACGCCCUAAACGAUG
RNAcentral lists this ribosomal RNA (827 nucleotides) under uncultured bacterium. RNAcentral's name for it is "bacterial SSU rRNA". It matches the Rfam family "Bacterial small subunit ribosomal RNA", at positions 8 to 811 of the family's 1533-position model. The record is from RNAcentral.